RNAcentral lists this ribosomal RNA (305 nucleotides) under uncultured bacterium. RNAcentral's name for it is "bacterial SSU rRNA". It matches the Rfam family "Bacterial small subunit ribosomal RNA", at positions 334 to 655 of the family's 1533-position model. The record is from RNAcentral.
UGUUCCUACGGGGGGCAGCAGUGGGGAAUAUUGCACAAUGGGGGAAACCCUGAUGCAGCGACGCCGCGUGAGUGAAGAAGUAUUUCGGUAUGUAAAGCUCUAUCAGCAGGGAAGAAAAAAGACGGUACCUGACUAAGAAGCCCCGGCUAACUACGUGCCAGCAGCCGCGGUAAUACGUAGGGGGCAAGCGUUAUCCGGAUUUAUUGGGUGUAAAGGGUGCGUAGACGGGAAUACAAGUUGGUUGUGAAAGCCCUCGGCUUAACUGAGGAACUGCAACCAAAACUAUAUUUCUUGAGUAUCGGAGG